GACGAACGCUGGCGGCGUGCCUAAUACAUGCAAGUAGAACGCUGAAGAGAGGAGCUUGCUCUUCUUGGAUGAGUUGCGAACGGGUGAGUAACGCGUAGGUAACCUGCCUUGUAGCGGGGGAUAACUAUUGGAAACGAUAGCUAAUACCGCAUAACAAUGGAUGACACAUGUCAUUUAUUUGAAAGGGGCAAUUGCUCCACUACAAGAUGGACCUGCGUUGUAUUAGCUAGUAGGUGAGGUAAUGGCUCACCUAGGCGACGAUACAUAGCCGACCUGAGAGGGUGAUCGGCCACACUGGGACUGAGACACGGCCCAGACUCCUACGGGAGGCAGCAGUAGGGAAUCUUCGGCAAUGGGGGCAACCCUGACCGAGCAACGCCGCGUGAGUGAAGAAGGUUUUCGGAUCGCAAAGCUCUGUUGUAAGUCAAGAACGGGUGUGAGAGUGGAAAGUUCACACUGUGACGGUAGCUUACCAGAAAGGGACGGCUAACUACGUG
This 497-nucleotide ribosomal RNA is filed under the name uncultured bacterium. RNAcentral describes it as "partial 16S ribosomal RNA". It matches the Rfam family "Bacterial small subunit ribosomal RNA", at positions 28 to 507 of the family's 1533-position model. The record is from RNAcentral.